Molecule: unclassified non-coding RNA, 370 nt
Filed under: uncultured Hygrocybe
Lineage: Eukaryota; Fungi; Basidiomycota; Agaricomycetes; Agaricales; Hygrophoraceae
Description: sequence contains ITS1
Rfam family: 5.8S ribosomal RNA (bases 1-105)
Source: RNAcentral
GAAAUGCGAUACGUAAUGUGAAUUGCAGAAUUCCGUGAAUCAUCGAAUCUUUGAACGCACCUUGCGCCUCUUGGUAUUCCGAGGGGCAUGCCUGUUUGAGUGUCAUUGAAUCCUCAAAAGAAAAGCUUUAACUGCUUUCUCUUUUGGAAUUGGAGUGUGCUGGCCUUCUGUUCAGGAAGCCCAGCUCCUCUGAAAUACAUUAGCGAUGUGACAUCCGCAUGGCACCACGCUUCUCUGGCAUUGAUAGUAUCUUCAUGCCUGAGCGUGUUGUGCAGCUGUGGAAAGUUUCGCUCGCUCAUAGCUUGAUGGGGUCAGCCCAUCCUUUGACCAAUUUAACCUCAAAUCAGGUAGGAUUACCCGCUGAACUUAA